GACGAACGCUGGCGGCGUGCCUAAUACAUGCAAGUCGAACGAACUCUGGUAUUGAUUGGUGCUUGCAUCAUGAUUUACAUUUGAGUGAGUGGCGAACUGGUGAGUAACACGUGGGAAACCUGCCCAGAAGCGGGGGAUAACACCUGGAAACAGAUGCUAAUACCGCAUAACAACUUGGACCGCAUGGUCCGAGCUUGAAAGAUGGCUUCGGCUAUCACUUUUGGAUGGUCCCGCGGCGUAUUAGCUAGAUGGUGGGGUAACGGCUCACCAUGGCAAUGAUACGUAGCCGACCUGAGAGGGUAAUCGGCCACAUUGGGACUGAGACACGGCCCAAACUCCUACGGGAGGCAGCAGUAGGGAAUCUUCCACAAUGGACGAAAGUCUGAUGGAGCAACGCCGCGUGAGUGAAGAAGGGUUUCGGCUCGUAAAACUCUGUUGUUAAAGAAGAACAUAUCUGAGAGUAACUGUUCAGGUAUUGACGGUAUUUAACCAGAAGGCCACGGCUAACUACGUGCCAGCAGCCGCGGUAAUACGUAGGUGGCAAGCGUUGUCCGGAUUUAUUGGGCGUAAAGCGAGCGCAGGCGGUUUUUUAAGUCUGAUGUGAAAGCCUUCGGCUCAACCGAAGAAGUGCAUCGGAAACUGGGAAACUUGAGUGCAGAAGAGGACAGUGGAACUCCAUGUGUAGCGGUGAAAUGCGUAGAUAUAUGGAAGAACACCAGUGGCGAAGGCGGCUGUCUGGUCUGUAACCGACGCUGAGGCUCGAAAGUAUGGGUAGCAAACAGGAUUAGAUACCCUGGUAGUCCAUACCGUAAACGAUGAAUGCUAAGUGUUGGAGGGUUUCCGCCCUUCAGUGCUGCAGCUAACGCAUUAAGCAUUCCGCCUGGGGAGUACGGCCGCAAGGCUGAAACUCAAAGGAAUUGACGGGGGCCCGCACAAGCGGUGGAGCAUGUGGUUUAAUUCGAAGCUACGCGAAGAACCUUACCAGGUCUUGACAUACUAUGCAAAUCUAAGAGAUUAGACGUUCCCUUCGGGGACAUGGAUACAGGUGGUGCAUGGUUGUCGUCAGCUCGUGUCGUGAGAUGUUGGGUUAAGUCCCGCAACGAGCGCAACCCUUAUUAUCAGUUGCCAGCAUUAAGUUGGGCACUCUGGUGAGACUGCCGGUGACAAACCGGAGGAAGGUGGGGAUGACGUCAAAUCAUCAUGCCCCUUAUGACCUGGGCUACACACGUGCUACAAUGGAUGGUACAACGAGUUGCGAACUCGCGAGAGUAAGCUAAUCUCUUAAAGCCAUUCUCAGUUCGGAUUGUAGGCUGCAACUCGCCUACAUGAAGUCGGAAUCGCUAGUAAUCGCGGAUCAGCAUGCCGCGGUGAAUACGUUCCCGGGCCUUGUACACACCGCCCGUCACACCAUGAGAGUUUGUAACACCCAAAGUCGGUGGGGUAACCUUUUAGGAACCAGCCGCCUAAGGUGGGACAGAUGAUUAGGGUG
RNAcentral lists this ribosomal RNA (1489 nucleotides) under Lactiplantibacillus plantarum. Its description in RNAcentral is "bacterial SSU rRNA". It matches the Rfam family "Bacterial small subunit ribosomal RNA". Lineage: Bacteria; Bacillati; Bacillota; Bacilli; Lactobacillales; Lactobacillaceae. The record is from RNAcentral.